UACGGGGGGGGCAAGCGUUGUUCGGAAUUACUGGGCGUAAAGGGCUCGUAGGUGGCCAACUCAGUCAGACGUGAAAUCCCUCGGCUUAACCGGGGAACUGCGUCUGAUACUGGAUGGCUUGAGGUUGGGAGAGGGAUGCGGAAUUCCUGGUGUAGCGGUGAAAUGCGCAGAUAUCAGGAGGAACACCAAUGGCGAAGGCAGCUCGCUGGGACGGUACUGACGCUGAGACGCGAAAGCGUGGGGAGCAAACAGG
Molecule: ribosomal RNA, 253 nt
Filed under: uncultured bacterium
Lineage: Bacteria
Description: partial 16S ribosomal RNA
Rfam family: Bacterial small subunit ribosomal RNA
Source: RNAcentral